UACAGAGGAUGCAAGCGUUAUCCGGAUUGAUUGGGCGUAAAGCGUCUGUAGGUGGCUUUUUAAGUCCGCCGUCAAAUCCCAGGGCUCAACUCUGGACAGGCGGUGGAAACUACCAAGCUGGAGUACGGUAGGGGCAGAGGGAAUUUCCGGUGGAGCGGUGAAAUGCGUAGAUAUCAGGAGGAACACCUGCGGUGUAGACGGCUUACUGGACCAUAACUGACGCUGAGGCACGAAAGCGUGGGUAGCAAACAGG
This 253-nucleotide ribosomal RNA is filed under the name uncultured bacterium. RNAcentral's name for it is "partial 16S ribosomal RNA". It matches the Rfam family "Bacterial small subunit ribosomal RNA", at positions 524 to 776 of the family's 1533-position model. The record is from RNAcentral.